GAUGAACGCUAGCGGCAGGCCUAACACAUGCAAGUCGAGGGAGAAGCCCUUCGGGGCAGAAACCGGCGCACGGGUGCGUAACGCGUAUGCAACCUACCUUUCACAGGGGGAUAGCCCGAAGAAAUUUGGAUUAAUACCCCAUAAUAUUAUUGGAUGGCAUCAUUUGAUAAUUAAAAUUACGAUGGUGAAAGAUGGGCAUGCGUCCUAUUAGCCAGUUGGAGUGGUAACGGCACCCCAAGGCUACGAUAGGUAGGGGUCCUGAGAGGGAGAUCCCCCACACUGGUACUGAGACAGGGACCAGACUCCUACGGGAGGCAGCAGUGAGGAAUAUUGGUCAAUGGUCGGAAGACUGAACCAGCCAUGCCGCGUGCAGGAAGAAUGCCUUAUGGGUUGUAAACUGCUUUUAUAUGGGAAGAAUAAGGAGUACGCGUACUUUGAUGACGGUACCAUAUGAAUAAGC
Molecule: ribosomal RNA, 460 nt
Filed under: Capnocytophaga granulosa
Lineage: Bacteria; Pseudomonadati; Bacteroidota; Flavobacteriia; Flavobacteriales; Flavobacteriaceae
Description: bacterial SSU rRNA
Rfam family: Bacterial small subunit ribosomal RNA
Source: RNAcentral